UAACCUCUGGUUUCUACGAAUGUUG
This 25-nucleotide non-coding RNA is filed under the name unclassified sequences. The record is from RNAcentral.